Molecule: ribosomal RNA, 465 nt
Filed under: uncultured Klebsiella sp.
Lineage: Bacteria; Pseudomonadati; Pseudomonadota; Gammaproteobacteria; Enterobacterales; Enterobacteriaceae
Description: bacterial SSU rRNA
Rfam family: Bacterial small subunit ribosomal RNA
Source: RNAcentral
CCUACGGGUGGCUGCAGUGGGGAAUAUUGCACAAUGGGCGCAAGCCUGAUGCAGCCAUGCCGCGUGUGUGAAGAAGGCCUUCGGGUUGUAAAGCACUUUCAGCGGGGAGGAAGGCGUUAAGGUUAAUAACCUUGUCGAUUGACGUUACCCGCAGAAGAAGCACCGGCUAACUCCGUGCCAGCAGCCGCGGUAAUACGGAGGGUGCAAGUGUUAAUCGGAAUUACUGGGCGUAAAGCGCACACAGGCGGUCUGUCAAGUCGGAUGUGAAAUCCCCGGGCUCAACCUGGGAACUGCAUUCGAAACUGGCAGGCUAGAGUCUUGUAGAGGGGGGUAGAAUUCCAGGUGUAGCGGUGAAAUGCGUAGAGAUCUGGAGGAAUACCGGUGGCGAAGGCGGCCCCCUGGACAAAGACUGACGCUCAGGUGCGAAAGCGUGGGGAGCAAACAGGAUUAGAUACCCCGGUAGUC